This 28-nucleotide non-coding RNA is filed under the name Rattus norvegicus (Norway rat). The record is from RNAcentral. Lineage: Eukaryota; Metazoa; Chordata; Mammalia; Rodentia; Muridae.
UAGGACGAGAGUGUAGUGCCCUCCCAGA